AACGAACGCUGGCGGCAGGCUUAACACAUGCAAGUCGAACGCCCCUUCGGGGGAGUGGCAGACGGGUGAGUAACGCGUGGGAACCUACCUUUCGGUACGGAACAACAGUUGGAAACGACUGCUAAUACCGUAUACGUCCUUCGGGAGAAAGAUUUAUCGCCGAUAGAGGGGCCCGCGUUGGAUUAGCUUGUUGGUGAGGUAAUGGCUCACCAAGGCGACGAUCCAUAGCUGGUCUGAGAGGAUGAUCAGCCACACUGGGACUUAGACACGGCCCAGACUCCUACGGGAGGCAGCAGUGGGGAAUAUUGGACAAUGGGCGAAAGCCUGAUCCAGCCAUGCCGCGUGAGUGAUGACGGCCUUAGGGUUGUAAAGCUCUUUCAGUGGUGAAGAAAAUGACGGUACCAGACUAAGAAGCCCCGGCUAACUACGUGCCAGCAGCCGCGGUAAUACGUAGGGGGCAAGCGUUAUCCGGAUUUACUGGGUGUAAAGGGUACGUAGNCGGUCGCUUAAGUCAGAUGUGAAAGCCCGAAGCUCAACUUCGGGACUGCAUUUGAAACUGGGUGACUAGAGUACAGGAGAGGAAAGCGGAAUUCCUAGUGUAGCGGUGAAAUGCGUAGAUAUUAGGAAGAACACCAGUGGCGAAGGCGGCUUUCUGGACUGUAACUGACGCUGAGGUACGAAAGCGUGGGGAGCGAACAGGAUUAGAUACCUGGUAGUCCACGCCGUAAACGAUGAAUGCUAGGUGUCGGGGGUCGAA
This 757-nucleotide ribosomal RNA is filed under the name uncultured bacterium. Its description in RNAcentral is "bacterial SSU rRNA". It matches the Rfam family "Bacterial small subunit ribosomal RNA", at positions 28 to 834 of the family's 1533-position model. The record is from RNAcentral.